RNA transcript from Stylophora pistillata, 397 nucleotides. RefSeq lists it as uncharacterized. The record is from RefSeq and is a predicted model, not a curated record. NCBI's taxonomy places the organism in Eukaryota, Metazoa, Cnidaria, Anthozoa, Scleractinia, Pocilloporidae.
UCUGCCAAAACGACGGCACUAAAAGCUGCUCUUUCUGUUGUUGGCAAUACAGAUAUUGUACAAGUAAUGACUUUCAAGGCGAUAAUGGAUGCCGUUUGCAAGACAUCCAUUCCAUUUGGUUGGGAUGAUUGUGAAAAAAAUGCGACAAUGAAGCAAGUUGCAAUAGCCCUCUUUAAGCAAGGUGGCACCAAGAGUUACCUCGGGAGAAAAAUUCCUAGAAUAUUCCCCAUCAUGACAACAAAUGUUGACGGAAAAACACUCAAGGUAUUAUCUUGAUGGGUGAGAAUUCCAUUCGAAACACUAGACCCUCUGUACAGGUCUAAAACGUACAGAGACAGGUAUCAACUUUUAGAAAAUGCCAUGACCGAUGCAAGCGCAAGUGUAGCAGUUGUCACUG